UUUGUUGACCGAGAACUCGGUGGUAGACUACUACUAGCUGAUGGAGAGAGCUCAGAAGUACAUUCGGCUGGAUGAUGAGCGAUAGGCUCUACACGAGGAAAGGAAAUCCAGGCAGAACAAUGAGGCAAGAAGAACUAUGGUUCAGAUCGAAGAUGUUAUAGCUUAGACAAGAACAUCGAGCAGAGCAGAGAAAGAUUCCACAGCUAUAUACCCUUGAAUGAGGCAAGGUCCAGAGUCCUCAUGUGGAUCCAGAAGAAUGGCAAA
This 264-nucleotide unclassified non-coding RNA is filed under the name Hevea brasiliensis (rubber tree). The record is from RNAcentral. Lineage: Eukaryota; Viridiplantae; Streptophyta; Magnoliopsida; Malpighiales; Euphorbiaceae.